Molecule: ribosomal RNA, 253 nt
Filed under: uncultured bacterium
Lineage: Bacteria
Description: partial 16S ribosomal RNA
Rfam family: Bacterial small subunit ribosomal RNA
Source: RNAcentral
UACGUAGGGGGCAAGCGUUGUCCGGAUUUAUUGGGCGUAAAGAGCGUGUAGGCGGCCAUACAGGUCCGUUGUGAAAACUGGAGGCUCAACCUCCAGACGUCGACGGAAACCGUAUGGCUAGAGUCCGGAAGAGGAGAGUGGAAUUCCUGGUGUAGCGGUGAAAUGCGCAGAUAUCAGGAAGAACACCCGUGGCGAAGGCGGCUCUCUGGGACGGUACUGACGCUGAGGCACGAAAGCCAGGGGAGCAAACGGG